ACGAACGCUGGCGGCGUGCUUAACACAUGCAAGUCGAACGGUGAAGCGCCUUCCUUUUUGGUGGGUGUGGAUGAGUGGCGAACGGGUGAGUAACACGUGAGUAACCUGCCCCCUUCUUCUGGAUAACCGCAUGAAAGUGUGGCUAAUACGGGAUAUUCUGGGUCUGUCGCAUGAUGGGUCUGGGAAAGAUAUUGUUUCGGUGGGGGAUGGGCUCGCGGCCUAUCAGCUUGUUGGUGGGGUGAUGGCCUACCAAGGCGGUGACGGGUAGCCGGCCUGAGAGGGUGGACGGUCACACUGGGACUGAGACACGGCCCAGACUCCUACGGGAGGCAGCAGUGGGGAAUAUUGCACAAUGGGCGCAAGCCUGAUGCAGCGACGCCGCGUGAGGGAUGGAGGCCUUCGGGUUGGGAACCUCUUUCGCCAGUGAAGCAGGCCUGCCUCGUUUGUGGGUGGGUUGACGGUAGCUGGAUAAGAAGCGCCGGCUAACUACGU
RNAcentral lists this ribosomal RNA (492 nucleotides) under uncultured bacterium. RNAcentral's name for it is "partial 16S ribosomal RNA". It matches the Rfam family "Bacterial small subunit ribosomal RNA", at positions 29 to 506 of the family's 1533-position model. The record is from RNAcentral.